RNAcentral lists this transfer RNA (71 nucleotides) under Shinisaurus crocodilurus (Chinese crocodile lizard). Its description in RNAcentral is "tRNA-Gln". It matches the Rfam family "tRNA". From Rfam's summary of the family: Transfer RNA (tRNA) molecules are approximately 80 nucleotides in length. Their secondary structure includes four short double-helical elements and three loops (D, anti-codon, and T loops). Further hydrogen bonds mediate the characteristic L-shaped molecular structure. tRNAs have two regions of fundamental functional importance: the anti-codon, which is responsible for specific mRNA codon recognition, and the 3' end, to which the tRNAs corresponding amino acid is attached (by aminoacyl-tRNA synthetases). tRNAs cope with the degeneracy of the genetic code in two manners: having more than one tRNA (with a specific anti-codon) for a particular amino acid; and 'wobble' base-pairing, i.e. permitting non-standard base-pairing at the 3rd anti-codon position. Lineage: Eukaryota; Metazoa; Chordata; Lepidosauria; Squamata; Shinisauridae. The record is from RNAcentral.
UAGAAAGUAGUAAAAUGGGAGUACGAGGGGUUUUGAGUCCCAAGGUGCAGGUUCAAAUCCUGUUUUUCUAA